GAUCUGUGGGUAGGGGUGAAAGGCCAAUCAAACUCGGAAAUAGCUCGUACUCCCCGAAAUGCAUUUAGGUGCAGCGUUAGUUAUAAAGUUAUAUAGAGGUAGAGCUACUGAUUGGAUGCGGGGGCUUCACCGCCUACCAAUUCCUGACAAACUCCGAAUGCUAUAUAAUGUUCACUAACAGUGAGGGCUUGGGUGCUAAGGUCCAAGUCCGAGAGGGAAAGAACCCAGACCAUCAGCUAAGGUCCCCAAAUAUAUACUAAGUUGAAAGAACGAGGUUUGUCUGCAUAGACAGCUAGGAUGUUGGCUUGGAAGCAGCCAUUCAUUUAAAGAGUGCGUAACAGCUCACUAGUCGAGCGGACGAGCAUGGAUAAUAAUCGGGCAUAAGUAUAUUACCGAAGCUAUGGAUUUACAAUUUAUUGUAAGUGGUAGGGGAGCAUUCUAACAGGGUAGAAGGUGAGUCGUAAGGCCUGCUGGACCGGUUAGAAAAGAAAAUGUAGGCAUAAGUAACGAUAAUGCGGGCGAGAAACCCGCACACCGAAAGACUAAGGUUUCCACAGCUAUGCUAAUCAGCUGUGGGUUAGUCGGGACCUAAGGCGAACCCGAAAGGGACAGUCGAUGGACAACGGGUUAAUAUUCCCGUACUACUGUUAACUGUGAUGGGGUGACGGAGUGAUGAAAGUGCCGCGAACUGACGGAAUAGUUCGUUGAAGUACCUACCUAUAAGACCCGCAGGCAAAUCCACGGGUCUUGGGGAAAUACGAUAGUACUCGGCGUCUUCGGACAAAGAGAUAGUGCACCUAAGGGCUUCCAAGAAAAACCUCUAAACUUCAGGUUAAUAGUACCCGUACCGCAAACCGACACAGGUAGUCGAGAUGAGAAUUCUAAGGUGCUCGAGAGAUUCAUGGCUAAGGAAUUAGGCAAAAUAGACCCGUAACUUCGGGAGAAGGGUCGCCAGCAGCAAUGCUGGCCGCAGUGAAGAGGUCCAGGCGACUGUUUAUCAAAAACACAGGGCUCUGCAAAAUCGUAAGAUGAAGUAUAGGGCCUGACACCUGCCCGGUGCUGGAAGGUUAAGUGGAGAUGUUAUCUUCGGAGAAGCAUUGAAAUGAAGCCCCAGUAAACGGCGGCCGUAACUAUAACGGUCCUAAGGUAGCGAAAUUCCUUGUCGGGUAAGUUCCGACCUGCACGAAUGGUGUAACGAUCUGGACACUGUCUCAGCCAUGAGCUCGGUGAAAUUGUAGUAGCGGUGAAGAUGCCGCUUACCCGCAGUGGGACGAAAAGACCCUGUGCACCUUUACUAUAGCUUAGUAUUGACCUUGGAUAAAUGAUGUGUAGGAUAGGUUGGAGACUGUGAAGUGGCGUCGCUAGGCGUCGUGGAGUCAUUGUUGAAAUACAACCCUUUGUUUAUCUAGGGCCUAACCCCGCGUUUGCGGGGGACAUUGCUUGGUGGGUAGUUUGACUGGGGUGGUCGCCUCCAAAAGAGUAACGGAGGCUUCUAAAGGUUCCCUCAGUACGCUUGGUAACCGUGCGUAGAGUGCAAUGGCAUAAGGGAGCUUGACUGAGAGACAUACAGGUCGAUCAGGUACGAAAGUAGAGCAUAGUGAUCCGGUGGUUCCGCAUGGAAGGGCCAUCGCUCAAAGGAUAAAAGGUACG
This 1650-nucleotide ribosomal RNA is filed under the name Sulfurimonadaceae bacterium. Its description in RNAcentral is "partial 23S ribosomal RNA". It matches the Rfam family "Bacterial large subunit ribosomal RNA", at positions 806 to 2467 of the family's 2925-position model. Lineage: Bacteria; Pseudomonadati; Campylobacterota; Epsilonproteobacteria; Campylobacterales; Sulfurimonadaceae. The record is from RNAcentral.